CCUACGGGUGGCUGCAGUCGAGAAUCUUUCUCAAUGGGGGAAACCCUGAUCGUGCGACGCCGCGUGGGGGAAUGAAGGUCUUCGGAUUGUAAACCCCUGUCAUGUGGGAGCAAAUUAAGAAGAUAGUACCACAAGAGGAAGAGAUGGCUAACUCUGUGUCAGCAGCCGCGGUAAUACAGCGGUCUCAAGCGUUGUUCGGAGUCACUGGGCGUAAAGCAUGCGUAGGCUGUUUCGUAAGUCGUGUGUGAAAGGCGCGGGCUCAACCCGCGGACGGCACAUGAUACUGGGAGACUAGAGUAAUGGAGGGGGAGCCGGAAUUCUCGGUGUAGCAGUGAAAUGCGUAGAUAUCGAGAGGAACACUCGUGGCGAAGGCGGGUUCCUGGACAUUCACUGACGCUGAGGCACGAAGGCGAGGGGAGCGAAAGGGAUUAGAUACCCCUGUAGUC
This 446-nucleotide ribosomal RNA is filed under the name uncultured bacterium. RNAcentral describes it as "partial 16S ribosomal RNA". It matches the Rfam family "Bacterial small subunit ribosomal RNA", at positions 338 to 795 of the family's 1533-position model. The record is from RNAcentral.